AUAUAAGGAACUUUAUAGAGAUUUAUUCCUUAAGGUUUUUUGUGUGUUUAAAACAACAAAGAGGCAAAAGAUAUAUCUCUCUAAAACUACACAAAGGCCGGCCACCUUGAGGGUGUUUUAGCUAACAAUUUUUCACCCUUUUGGUUAUUCCUCCAUCCAUCUCACUACACUAGUGGGUGUGGAUCUUUAGAGGUCUUCUCCUUUGGAGACUAAAGGAGAACCUUGGAGCACUCUUACCAACAAAGUAGAGGAGGCAAGGAGGGAGGCUAGGCUCAAGGAGUUCAAGGAGCAAAGGGCUUGGAGGUGGUCCAUCCUUGGUCUCAAGUCUAGAUCAAGAGGUAUAAGACUAAACCUUCACUUUGUUCUUCUCUAAAAUGUUUUGAUGCAUUAUAUAUAAACCUAUGAACCUUGAAGGGGAUUUGCAUGACUAUAGCUUUGAUAAUUUGUGUUAAAUGCUUCCGCUGCUUCCGUAUAUAAAAUUUGAUUUAUAUAUGCAUGAUAGUCAUUUCGAAAUCCCUAUGUGUAAAACUCAUAAUUUUCCCUUCAAAAAGUUCACAAUUUUUCUAUUUUUAGUGCAUCUGGACAGUUUUUGACAUCAAUAAAUACAAACGAGUAUGUGUUUGACAACCAUUGGUACUUAGGCAAAUAAACCCAUAUAAUGCGUUAAUGGAACCAAAAGAUUAUGUACUCUAGGGGUGGGAAAACAAGUAUAGGAACCGUGGGUCGAGGCGGGUACGGGCCGGUUCCAAAUUUUUAAUAAGAGAAACGAGGUGACGCAGGGCCGGG
RNAcentral lists this long non-coding RNA (786 nucleotides) under Malus domestica (apple). RNAcentral describes it as "long non-coding RNA (MDOM_LNC018290)". The record is from RNAcentral. Lineage: Eukaryota; Viridiplantae; Streptophyta; Magnoliopsida; Rosales; Rosaceae.